Molecule: transfer RNA, 79 nt
Filed under: Gemella haemolysans ATCC 10379
Lineage: Bacteria; Bacillati; Bacillota; Bacilli; Caryophanales; Gemellaceae
Description: tRNA-Met
Rfam family: tRNA
About the family: Transfer RNA (tRNA) molecules are approximately 80 nucleotides in length. Their secondary structure includes four short double-helical elements and three loops (D, anti-codon, and T loops).
Source: RNAcentral
UGGCGGCGUAGCUCAGCUGGCUAGAGCGUACGGUUCAUACCCGUAAGGUCGGGGGUUCGAUCCCCUCUGCCGCCACCAA